RNAcentral lists this ribosomal RNA (208 nucleotides) under uncultured bacterium. Its description in RNAcentral is "partial 16S ribosomal RNA". It matches the Rfam family "Bacterial small subunit ribosomal RNA", at positions 589 to 793 of the family's 1533-position model. The record is from RNAcentral.
CAGAUGUGAAAGACCCGGGGCUCAACCUCGGAAUAGCAUUUGAAACUAGGCAGACUAGAGUACUGUAGAGGGGGGUAGGAAUUUCAGGUGUAGCGGUGAAAUGCGUAGAGAUCUGAAGGAAUACCGGUGGCGAAGGCGGCCCCCUGGACAGAUACUGACACUCAGAUGCGAAAGCGUGGGGAGCAAACAGGAUUAGAUACCCUGGUAG